This 1346-nucleotide ribosomal RNA is filed under the name uncultured bacterium. RNAcentral describes it as "partial 16S ribosomal RNA". It matches the Rfam family "Bacterial small subunit ribosomal RNA", at positions 28 to 1381 of the family's 1533-position model. The record is from RNAcentral.
GACGAACGCUGGCGGCGUGCUUAACACAUGCAAGUCGAACGGAAAGGCCCUGCUUUUGUGGGGUGCUCGAGUGGCGAACGGGUGAGUAACACGUGAGUAACCUGCCCUUGACUUUGGGAUAACUUCAGGAAACUGGGGCUAAUACCGGAUAGGAGCUCCUGCUGCAUGGUGGGGGUUGGAAAGUUUCGGCGGUUGGGGAUGGACUCGCGGCUUAUCAGCUUGUUGGUGGGGUAGUGGCUUACCAAGGCUUUGACGGGUAGCCGGCCUGAGAGGGUGACCGGCCACAUUGGGACUGAGAUACGGCCCAGACUCCUACGGGAGGCAGCAGUGGGGAAUAUUGCACAAUGGGCGGAAGCCUGAUGCAGCAACGCCGCGUGCGGGAUGACGGCCUUCGGGUUGUAAACCGCUUUCGCCUGUGACGAAGCGUGAGUGACGGUAAUGGGUAAAGAAGCACCGGCUAACUACGUGCCAGCAGCCGCGGUGAUACGUAGGGUGCGAGCGUUGUCCGGAUUUAUUGGGCGUAAAGGGCUCGUAGGUGGUUGAUCGCGUCGGAAGUGUAAUCUUGGGGCUUAACCCUGAGCGUGCUUUCGAUACGGGUUGACUUGAGGAAGGUAGGGGAGAAUGGAAUUCCUGGUGGAGCGGUGGAAUGCGCAGAUAUCAGGAGGAACACCAGUGGCGAAGGCGGUUCUCUGGGCCUUUCCUGACGCUGAGGAGCGAAAGCGUGGGGAGCGAACAGGCUUAGAUACCCUGGUAGUCCACGCUGUAAACGGUGGGUACUAGGUGUGGGGUCCAUUCCACGGGUUCCGUGCCGUAGCUAACGCUUUAAGUACCCCGCCUGGGGAGUACGGCCGCAAGGCUAAAACUCAAAGGAAUUGACGGGGCCCCGCACAAGCGGCGGAGCAUGCGGAUUAAUUCGAUGCAACGCGUAGAACCUUACCUGGGUUUGACAUGGAUCGGGAGUGCUCAGAGAUGGGUGUGCCUCUUUUGGGGUCGGUUCACAGGUGGUGCAUGGCUGUCGUCAGCUCGUGUCGUGAGAUGUUGGGUUAAGUCCCGCAACGAGCGCAACCCUUGUUCACUGUUGCCAGCACGUUAUGGUGGGGACUCAGUGGAGACCGCCGGGGUCAACUCGGAGGAAGGUGGGGAUGACGUCAAGUCAUCAUGCCCCUUAUGUCCAGGGCUUCACGCAUGCUACAAUGGCUGGUACAGAGAGUGGCGAGCCUGUGAGGGUGAGCGAAUCUCGGAAAGCCGGUCUCAGUUCGGAUUGGGGUCUGCAACUCGAUCUCAUGAAGUCGGAGUCGCUAGUAAUCGCAGAUCAGCAACGCUGCGGUGAAUACGUUCCCGGGGCU